CCUGGACACCGGACACCUACCCAACCCUGUCCCCUACAGAUCUACCCAACCCUGUCCCCUGGACACCUACCCAACCUAUAAUAAAGGUCUGGGUCAGCCAAUAAAGGUCAGCCAUUAAAGGUCAGCCAAUAAAGGUCAGGGUCAGCCAUUAAAGGUCAGCCAUUAAAGGUCAGCCAUUAAAGGUCAGCCAUUCAAGGUCAGCCAAUGACUAAAUAGGAAAUAUGGUGGCAUUUGGAACUCAUACCCUAAAGUACAUGAACUAGCCGAUACAGUAUAUAUGAACAUUUAGAGAGAGAGAGAGAGAGACAGAGAGAGAGAGAGACAGAGAGAGCGAGAGAGAGAGACAGAGAGAGAGAGAGAGAGAGAGAGAGACAGAGAGAGAGAGAGAGAGAGACAGAGAGAGAGAGAGAGAGAGAGAGAGACAGAGAGAGA
This 432-nucleotide long non-coding RNA is filed under the name Salmo salar (Atlantic salmon). Its description in RNAcentral is "lncRNA (ENSSSAG00000099773.1)". The record is from RNAcentral. Lineage: Eukaryota; Metazoa; Chordata; Actinopteri; Salmoniformes; Salmonidae.